Long non-coding RNA from Gigantopelta aegis, 209 nucleotides. RefSeq lists it as uncharacterized. The record is from RefSeq and is a predicted model, not a curated record. Lineage: Eukaryota; Metazoa; Mollusca; Gastropoda; Neomphalida; Peltospiridae. The transcript has 8 exons.
UGAAAUCAGAGGGUUCCUUGAUAGCUUAUGGGACCAACUCAAGUCAGUACUUAUUCCAACUAUCACAAAGCUAGCCAUUGGAGCAAUUGGUAAACGAGAAAUUGAAAUCAGAGGAUUCCUCGGCAGUUUUUGGGACAAACUGAAGCCAACACUUAUUCCAGCUAUCGAAAAUCUUGUUCUUGGAAGCAUCGGCAAACGAGAUAUGUAAG